Molecule: long non-coding RNA, 450 nt
Filed under: Amborella trichopoda
Lineage: Eukaryota; Viridiplantae; Streptophyta; Magnoliopsida; Amborellales; Amborellaceae
Description: long non-coding RNA (ATRI_LNC003379)
Source: RNAcentral
GGAUAACUACGGAUUCAUUUUGAGUGCUAGUCAAGAUCAACCUUGGAAGAUACUGUUGUUGUGCUAGCUUUCUUUAUUUACUAUGUAAGACCUCGCCACUGUAAAUUUGUCCUAUCAAUAGAUGUAGAUAUGUUUUGUCCAUCACAUCUCAGGAAUAAUAGUAUUGUAAAUUCUUGGGGUGAGACAAUUAUGGUAUCAGAGCAAUAGGUUUAAGAUCCUUAGGAAAUUUAAAAAGAAUGUACUUAAAAAUCACAUUUAUUGUGUGUACAGACCGGGAUAAAGUCAGGAUCCAGAAUAGCUGAAGCCAAUAUGGAAGGAAUUCACAAAGCCUUGGAAAAUAUGGUUGCUCUAAUGCAACAUCAGAUGGAAAACAACAAUCCACCCAGGCAGUCAGUUACAGGAAAUGGUGGGAGCAAUAUCGAACAAUUUAAAAAAUUAAGCCCACCUUCU